GACGUCACUGGGUGGAGAGGAAGAUGGGGCCGCGCAGCGUCGCCGGGAGCAGUGUGGCACAGCGCGGUGAAACUUUCCCGGGGCUCUUGGUCUUCGUCCGUCAUGUGGAAUUCAUCAGCAUUUCAGCAAGUCGGUGAUUAUCUUGGAGAAUAUGUGGGACUAAUCGGAUAAAUUGAGGCGCCUGAUAGGAUUAAUGAACUCCCAAAUAAGAUCUCCUCGGUUGUGGGAAAACCCAAGGCAAGCAAGGACUUAAUAUGAAGACUUGAGACUACAACUGAUGAAAUCUGGAGCAACUCACAAAGGUGCUGGGGAUCUCAACAGUCACUAACCAAUCUCAGCAUGUGAAGAGAGACUCCAGCAGAUUGAGCAGACAAGACCAAUGGAAAGGCCAGCAGUCAAGAAGGUGGUCUCUGCAAGUGUCGUGGAACGUGUAGAACACGACAAGACACAGAAGAUGUCUUGGUCAUCCACUGCGCCUAGUCCCAUCUCCAGCCAUCUCGACUGUUGUCUUGCCACUGGAUCCAGUUAGGAAUUGAAAAGAGAGAGUGAGACUGACGCUGCGCACCUCUCCCUCACUUAAAUCCAAAUCAAGCGCUGGUCUCGACACCAUCAUCAUCAUCAUCAUGGUGUCAAGGUCUUCAUCGGCGAUGGAUGAACAACCAAACCAACCAAUCUGUCAGUAUUUUCUAGUUCAACUCUUAAGUUGACAAAUCUUUGCCUCCAAGUUGAGCUGCUUUGUAAGUCAAUUACAUUUCAAAAUUAUUUUAAUCAUUCCACUGUAAUGUUUCCAAAUAAGUGUCUAGUGUUAUAUCAUCAACACAUUUUGUUUUGCAUUUCAGCAAAUGACAUGAACUUGGUGAAUCUUAAAGAAACUUGUUCAAUACGUGAACUAAUGAUGCUCAAAACAUGGAUUGGAAGGUUCUGAAUACCUGUCUUUUCAGGAAUUUCAAUAUCAAUCAUGUUUCUUUUAGUUUAUUUCCAUUGUCAGCAUCACAUUUAAUUGCUUCCAGUUUGAUUUCAAAGGCUUUGAUUGGGGAAAAAAAAAUUUCAUAUUAUCAAGCAUCAAGUGUUUUGCCAGAUCCCUGUAAUUUAGUGUUCAAGUUAUAUAAAUGUGAGAUGAGAUCUGCAAAAGGCAUCAGUUUAAAAAUCCAAACACUUAACAUUUAAGAUCAGAACCUCUACUAAGCCAACAAACAUUGUUGUACAUAAUUAGGCCAAUAAAUUCUUAGAUUUGUUCAAAGUACAACCAGAAAUGAAAUGACUUGCCUUGGUUACAAUCUUCAUGUCUUCAAAUUCCUUAAAGCCAGCUUUUGCACGUAAAGCCUCAUAUAUUAUACAAUUAAAGCUUAUCUCUGGAUGCCCAGCAUACUUUGCAAAUAGAUUGACAAAGCCUGGACUGAAAGACAAUUAAUCUUUCAGUUCAAUCUAUUUCAUCCCUCAAUUAACACACAAAAUGCUGGAGCAACUCAGCAGAUUAAAUAACAUCUAUGGAAAGGAAUAAAACAGAGAUCUUGGGGUCCAGGUUCAUAGCUGUUUGAAAGUGGCUACACAGGUGGUUAAAAAGGCUUAUGAAAUACUUUCAUUAAUUUAGUUUAAAAGUCAGGAGGUUAUAGAACUCUGGUUAGGCCACAUCUGGAGUAUUGCACACAUUUCUGGUCACCCCAUGAUGGGAAGGAUGUUGAGGCUUUGGAGAGGGUGCGGAAAGCUGCCUGAUUAGAGGGCAAAUGCUAUCAUGAGAGGUUGGACAAACUUGGGUUGUUUUCUCAGAGGCUAAGGGGAGAUUUGAUAGAGGUUUGUAAGAUUGAGAGGCAUAGAGAGAGUAGACAGAGGGUCUCUGUUUCCCAGGAUAGAAAUAUCUCCACCAGAGGGCAUACAAUUGAAGGUGAAAGGGGGUAGCUUCAAAGCUGAUGUAAGGGGGUCGUGGAUGCCUGGAAUGUGCUGCCUGGUAUGGUGGUAAAGGUAAAUAUAUUGGAGGCUUUUAAGAGCUGUUUAGAUAGGCACAUGGAUAUGAGGGAGAUGGAGAGAAAUGGACAUGGUGUAGGUAGGAAGUAUUAGUUGUGAGGGGUUUUUGAUUUGCUCUUUAGCUGGUUUAGUGCAACCUUAAGGGCUGAAGGACCUGUUCCUGUGCUAUACUGUUCAGUGUUCUAUGUUAAUUUUUUAUUCCUUUCCAUAGAUGCUACCUGACCUUUUGAGUUCCUCCAACAUUGUCUGUCUGUCUGUCUCUGACUCCUGGAUUUCCAGUAUCUGUAGAAUCUGUGUUUAGCUCACCUUCUCAGAUGUUGCCUGACCUGCUCGGUUCCUCCAGUUUUAUUUUCCUGUUCCAGAAAGCCAGUUUACUUGUUUGGUGUCAACCCUCUACUGAAUUUUUCAAGAUUUAAUGGGAAAUGGAUUCAGAAGAAAUAGAAUUUAGAAUCAAAAUUGAGUAAAUGUAUUUUCAAUAAAGCCAAAAUAGUAAUUGUAUUCUUUAGGAAAGUGAGAUGAACCAUUUCCCCCUUUGUGCGUACAUGACUACUCAAUAGAAAGAUUGAUAGCAACAAGUUCCUGGGAGUUCAUAUCACAGGUGACCUCACCUGAUCCUUUAAUAUCACCUCCAUGAAUAAGAAGGCAGAUCAGCACCUCCACUUCCUGAGGAGAUAGAGGCAAGCGAGGCUCUCCACCCCCCCCCCCACUCCACCCCAAUCUUAACUGCAUUUUACAGGAGAACCACUGAGAGUGUCCUGACAAAUUGCAUCUCCAUCUGGUAUGGGACCAGGUGAACAUCGGACCAAAGGGCCCUACAAAGGACAGUGAAAAUGGCCAAGAGGAUCAUAGGUGUCUCCCUAUCAUCCAUCAGGAAAAUUUAUUGGGAGCAUUGUGUACUCAGGCCCCUUGGUAUUAUCAAGAAUCCCACCCUUCUAUCCAGCAUCCUCUUUGACUCUCUGUCAUAAGGCAGGAGACUCUAAUGCAUAAAGACAAGAACAGUCAGGAUGGAAAACAGCUUCUUCCUUCGAGUCGUUAGGCUUCUGAACUCCCUGCAGCAUCACAUUUGAAGUGUCACUAGGUAAUUUGUACCAUACUCUACAAUAUUUAAUUUAUACACUCUACUUCCUUUAUAUAUGUGUAAUUUAUUUGUAGAUUUAAUUCUUACAUUCCUGAGUUAUUGUGUGUUAUGUGUACUACUGUGCUUUACACCCUGGUCUAGAGAAAUGUCUCAUUUAAUGGCAUAUAUGUAUAUAGUUAAAUGACAGUAAACUUGAAUAGAUGCCUGUAAAAAAGCAUCCAUUAGUCUUGCGAGACCAUGGAUCUACGCCUGGAAAGUCUUCACCCUCUAGGGCGCAGGCCUGGACAAGGUUGUUUGGAAGACCAGCAGUUGCCCAUGGUGCAAGUCUCCCUUCUCCACAUUGUCCAAGGGAAGGACAUUAGGACCCAUACAGCUUGGCACCAGUGUCGUCGCAGAGCAAUGUGUGGUUAAGUGCCUUGCUCAAGGACACAACACGUUCCCUCGGCUGGGGCUCGAACUCAUGACCUUCAGGUCGCUAGUCCAAUGCUUUCACCACUUGGCCGCGUGCCCACAGACGCCUGUAUGCUGCUGGUAUUUGCCCUUUUAAUGGCAACACCUCAUAAUUAUAAAGCAAAUUAUUUCCUUUCAAAGAAGUUGAAAUGGAGACCUUCCUAAAGGCAGAGAAUGAGAUUGAUAAAGAAAACCUGUCUUGGCAGCUAAAGGUAUUUCUGUCAAAAAAUGAAAGAAGUUAAAAUCACAAUGUGAAUAAAACAAAUUUUGAAGAAUUCACUUGUGAUAUCAGAAACAACAAGUCAAGUGACAAUCAGCACGUACUACAUCAUCCCAACUUAUGUGCUGGUCUGAGCCCAGAGUACACAGCUCAAAUUUCUGGAAAUGCAGUAUGUGACCUGUACUCAAGUACCCAAUUUCAUCACAGAACAUUCAGUGCAGAUUACAGCACAAAUUCAAAGGAAGUCUGGGCUGUCAAGCCUGUUCUGCCAUUCAAUAAGAGCAUGUCUGAUCAAAUUGUAAUCUUGCCUCAGUAUCCCUGUUACCCCCGCCCCUGCACAAUGAUCUCUGUAUUUAAAAAAUAUUAGAAACAUAGAAAAUCUACCGCACAAUACAGGCCCUUCGGCCCACAAAGCUGUGCCAAACACGUCCCUACCGUAGAACUACUUAGGCUUUACCCAUAGCCCUCUAUUUUUCUAAGCUCCAUCCAGGAGUCUCUUAAAAGACCCUAUCGCUUCCACCUCCACCAUCGCCGCUGGCAGCCCAUUCCACACACUUACCACUCUCUGCGUUUAUUUUAAAAAAACUUACCCCUGACAUCUCCCCUGUACCUACUUCCAGGCACCUUAAAACUAUGCCCUCUCAUGCAAUAUUAAUUUGUGUAUGCUGCUGUCAAGCCAAGUUGAUUAGCAAAUGGAGAGAGCAGAUUAAUGGUAUUUCAGCAGCAUCACAAAGGCUUGUGACCCCUGGACAAAAAUGUUUUAGCUGUUCUACAUGGGAAAUCCUUAUUUUUAAAGUUUUAUUAGACCGUAAGAGAAAGCAUUCUGUCCAUGUUCACCCUUGAGGACCAUUUAAAAUCCCCUAUAUUUCAAAAUGCCUCCCUUUUCUAAAUACUGCCAAAUUUAAGCCUCAUCUUUCUAAGCUGUUCUCAUGAGACAAGCUUCCCAUUCAGGUAUUAGUCUAGUAAACCUCAGAAAUGUCUCCAGUGUAUAUUUUUUUUCUUUAAAACACAGUAAUAUUAUGGACGGCAUUACAGAUAUGACAAUUGUCCCGUAUCGGACCACUAAGCACUCCAGCGUGUGGUGAAAACUGCCCAGCAGAUUAUCGGCACCCAAUUGCCCACCAUUGAGAACAUCUACCAUAAACGCUGCCUGGGUAGGGGGAAAAGCGUUAUCAGGGAUGCAUCUCACCCUAACCAUGGACUUCUUACUCUCCUCCCAUCCGGUAGGUGCUACAGGAGCCUCCGCUCCCGCACCAGCACGCAUAGGAAGCGCUUCUUCCCUGAGUCUGUGACACUGCUGAACCUCUCAUCACAGUGCUAAGCAGUAUUGCAUCCAUAUUGUAGCCUCAGUACUUUUAUAUUUGUGUGCUGUAGCACUUUUUAUUUGCAGUUAUUUUGUAAAUAACACUUUUUAUUUCUGGUCAGAUGCUAAAUGCAUUUCAUUGGCUUUGUAUCUGUACUCGGCACAAUGACAAUAAAGUUGAAUCUAAUCUAAUCUACGAUAAGGUCUCACUAAGCUCCUAUAUAACACUGGACAACAAAGAUUUUGCUUCCUGACUACUUUUGGGUGUAUCUUAAUGAAUUUUGGGCGGCUAAUCAUGAAGAUCACCAUGAAAUUUCUGAAUCGCGCACCAUAUUUUUGAAAUCACCUUUUUUUAAAUUUCAGUUCAUGAUUCAAAUCUGAAUAAUUGAUGCCAAUAUUAAGGAAGGCAUUUUUUUGCUGGUCCACAAAUCAAGCAGGUCAUCAAAGAUAGACAAUUCGGGGAACUUCUAGUGGGACUGGAAAAAAUCGCAUGGAUGGCAUUCAAGGAUGCUGUUAAAAAUUUACUUGGUAGCUGCAGCGCACCAAACUACGUGCAGCCAGUUGACAACGUGCUUCAAGCAUACAAAACCAUGAAGCGCAACAUGUCACUAAAGAUUCAUUUUCUGCAUUCUCAUUUAGACUACUUCCGUGCAAAUCUUGGUGCUGUCAGUGUUGAGCACGGUGAAAGGUUUCAUCAGGACAUUGCGGUCAUGGAGAAACAGUAUCAGGGCAACUGGCUGAUUAUUGUUGGACACAAGUGAGGAGCCUCAGAUGCUGAGUACAAACAAAAAUUAUCAACAAAACGUUUUUAGCUUAGUUGCACUAUUGCAAAACAUUUGUAACAUUAUGCAAUUAAACAACACACAUAAAAGUUGCUGGUGAACGCAGCAGGCCAGACAGCAUCUCUAGGAAGAGGUGCAGUCGACGUUUCAGGCCGAGACCCUUUGUCAGAACUAACUGAAGGAAGAGUGAAUAAGGGAUUUGAAAG
This is a long non-coding RNA of Mobula hypostoma (lesser devil ray), 6001 nucleotides long. RefSeq lists it as uncharacterized. The transcript has 3 exons. The record is from RefSeq and is a predicted model, not a curated record. Lineage: Eukaryota; Metazoa; Chordata; Chondrichthyes; Myliobatiformes; Myliobatidae.